Molecule: non-coding RNA, 46 nt
Organism: Schistosoma mattheei
Lineage: Eukaryota; Metazoa; Platyhelminthes; Trematoda; Strigeidida; Schistosomatidae
Source: Rfam
ACACUGCUGAGGAGUCCCAUACUAGGACGAAACGGCCGUCCAGUGC